AUAGAAGAUUCUUCAGUGACAGUAUUGCUGCAUUCAUGGAAAACGGGUUGGCAGAUAAAACGUUUGAAUGAUACUGCACAUCUGAGGCUUCUCUAGUUGGAGAAUUAUGAAAGCUGCUGUUAACUAUUGGGUGAAAGCUGGUAUUGUGUUCAUUUAUGGAUCAUGUUGCAACUCAUGAUUUCACGUGAAAUGAUGUUACUUCUACACCUUGCUGCUAUGUUGUUGACAUAUUUAUUUACACUUAUGGACUUACCAGCUUGAAAGAAAAAGAGGAUCAGGUUGGGAGUUGGGUAUUUGUAUUGGGUAAUUCUUUUGAUUUGUAGCAUUACAAGUGUUUUUAUUGUAGAGUGAAAGAUAAUGCUUUUCCCC
Molecule: unclassified non-coding RNA, 369 nt
Filed under: Hevea brasiliensis (rubber tree)
Lineage: Eukaryota; Viridiplantae; Streptophyta; Magnoliopsida; Malpighiales; Euphorbiaceae
Source: RNAcentral